GAAAUUCUAGUUAAUAUAUAACAUUAACUUGUCAAGCUAAAAUUACCUUACAGGUGAAUUUCU
RNAcentral lists this transfer RNA (63 nucleotides) under Lumbriculus variegatus. Its description in RNAcentral is "tRNA-Asp". The record is from RNAcentral. Lineage: Eukaryota; Metazoa; Annelida; Clitellata; Lumbriculida; Lumbriculidae.